GGGCCCGCACAAGCGGUGGAGUAUGUGGUUUAAUUCGAUGCAACGCGAAGAACCUUACCUACACUUGACAUGCUGAGAAGUUACUAGAGAUAGUUUCGUGCCUUCGGGAACUCAGACACAGGUGCUGCAUGGCUGUCGUCAGCUCGUGUCGUGAGAUGUUGGGUUAAGUCCCGCAACGAGCGCAACCCUUAUCCUUAGUUGCCAGCACGUUUGGGUGGGCACUCUAAGGAAACUGCCGGUGCUAAGCCGGAGGAAGGCGGGGAUGACGUCAAGUCCUCAUGGCCCUUACGUCCUGGGCCACACACGUGCUACAAUGGUGGGGACAGAGAGCAGCCACUCCGCGAGGAGGAGCGAAUCUUCAAACCCCAUCACAGUUCGGAUCGCAGUCUGCAACUCGACUGCGUGAAGCUGGAAUCGCUAGUAAUCG
RNAcentral lists this ribosomal RNA (427 nucleotides) under uncultured bacterium. RNAcentral's name for it is "bacterial SSU rRNA". It matches the Rfam family "Bacterial small subunit ribosomal RNA", at positions 917 to 1344 of the family's 1533-position model. The record is from RNAcentral.